UAAUAAAUCAGAGUCAAAUAUACAUAAAUGCUCUCUGGCGAAAGUGAGCUAUAUUAAGAACAUAUUUCAGUCGAUGCUCUCUAAAUAUGAAAUUCGAGUGAUAUUUCAAUUUAUCCAAAAUGCGACCUACAAAUAUACAAAUGUAUACACAAUAGUAGGAGAGAAACAGAGCAACGAUGGAGGAGCAUUAGUUGAUUAACCAGUCGAUGAAAAUGGCUACUCCUACCCAGAAGUGGAUGCGGGAGUUGUCAAGGAGUCGAGGAGCAAGGAUUCCGGGGAACCAAGCCAAGCCAAACCAAACCAAGUCGAAGCAAAACGUAGCGAAGUGAAACGGACUUGAAUUCCGGAUUCUCCAAAUUAAUGCUAAUUGAAGUGCAUGACUUUUGUUUUCGGCUUCAAAUGCCCCAAACAAAUGCCAGGAGUUCUAGGUUCUGCAGAAACAAACAAUGCCAAGCUUCAAAGCAAAAGGCAAUCAUUAAGUGAAUGAACUGAAUGAAUGGCCAAUUAACAAACGGCAAAGGAUAAAAUCACAGCACGAAAGGAUCUUCGGAGGACACUAAGCCACUCCAAUGGAAUGCAAUCAAUGGGAGAUAUUCUGAAUGAAAGUCCUCAUGAAUUACAAAGUGAACAAGGACAGCAGCCAGGCAAAAGAGCUGGCAAAAUGGUUUGAAUGCUUUGUGAUGGAAGGAUAUAUAUACAUUUAAAAACCUAAUGAUCGGAGGAAUAAAAUGGAAAGUUCUAGAAUUUUGGUAUUUACCUAUCUACAAAGAACACGAGUCGUUGGAGACGAAGUUCGGGUCCCAAAAUAACACUGGCUAUGGCACUCGCAAAAAAACUUUAGAAAACAAUCGGGCAACAAGCACUUGUUUUCGAAAACAAAACAAAAAACAACAUACAACAAUUAUGAGUAAUAAGUGUAACUAUUUGCACAACGCGCCACUCGGGCAAGGACUCUUGCCAAAAGUCCUGCUAGAAUUCCAGAAUCGUUUCGAAAACUGAGUUCACUUUGGUUGGAUAAAUUGGCAAAGACUCGGCUGGGAUUCGGUGUGGAUCCACUCGACUGAACUGAACCGACGCGCUAGGAAGUUGCCCGAGCACUGAACCUGUCGCGCCAAGCGCCUUUCGCAUUGGACCGACCUAGCGCAACGCGCUCGUCCUUCGGCAGCCCACGAUGUCCUGUGCCAUCCUGCCGACGAUGUCCCACUGUCCCGAUGUCUCCCGCUAUCCCAUGUCCCGUUAUGUUAUCCCACGAGCCCACGCAAUCGCCCGAAGUGGCCCGAAGUCAGCCGAAAGCCGUUUGCCAGGAUAACGAUUCGGGGCAUCGCAUGCUUCGUGUUUUGGUUAGCCGAAUCUAACCAGGCAACAUGUUGCCAGCAACAUUGUGAAGUCGUUGCCAGGAUUAUAAUAAAAACUAUAUCUGCUGCACAAAUUAAAAACAAAUCACAACAACUAAAUGAGUAAAUCGAACGAAAGGCUAAAGGAUGCACUUAUUACAACAGAUCCCAGGUUAAUUAAACGGCGCAUCAGGUGCACACAAAGUGCAAUCAGCCGGAUCAUUACCGAGAUUAAAAUCAAAAUGAAUUAGCAGGCAAGUGAGCAACUCGAUUGGCAUUAUUCAUUAUCCGGCGAAUGUGCUGCAAAUGAAGAGCAGGCACAAUGAUGCCAACUCCCAACGAGUAUCUUCAGUGCAACAAAUAUUUAAAUGACAGGUUAUUUCAAAGGUCUCCCUACUUCUCUCGCUGUGUAUACAAGUCCUCCCUGGCAUCCUUAACCAAGAAAAGUGAAAAGGACUUGACCUGAAUGACUUGUAAAUCCAGGGAUUACUCUGAAGAUGUUCGCGGAAGAUCAGCAUUCAAUUGUACCUGUUUUUGGAUUCUUCUAUCCUGACAUCACAGCCCGAGUCCUUCGUCCUUUGGUCCCCUGUCCAUAUUAUGUAUUCGCGACAAGGAGCCAUCAUAUUGGCCUGGCCCUCGUCCAAAUUGUGAACGCCAAAGGAGCAGAGAAAAUGAGGACGAGCAUCAGGACGAAGGGCAGGCAGCUGGCGGUGGCGUUUUUAAUGUUGCCAACAAUUUUUAAGACAUCGACUGGCAGCGAAGGAGUUGGCGGUGGCGGAAAGGUGGAAGGCAUUUCAGCUUGACAGGCCGGCAGAACAGGAGCAAGGACCGAGGACGAGGACGAGGCGACGCACGCUUAAGCAUAAGUACUUCCGACUUUAAAAGGAUGUCACAUCCGGUUUCGCUUCUGGAGCGUGAAGCGCAGACUGGCGACGCGAUAAGAGCCGCAACCAGACUCUGACUCCGGCGAACCUGCUGGGCUGGGUACCAGCAAGGGCAAUCCGGAAUUGGGAGAAUCAUGAGAACCAGGAGAACCGAGAGAACCAGGAGAGCCAACCACAACUUAAAGGUGCAACAGUUUGACAGGCUUAAGGCAUUGUCCAGGCCCCUUGUCCUUGCCACCCAAUGCAAAAACGGAGAAGCCGAUGGCAGGAAGGACCAAGCUAGGUCGCUCAAGGAGCAAAGCUGCUUAGGGGGCACACUUGAUGCCAGUGUGACCGAACCGGAAUCUCACGAUAAGGAGGAGCUGGCACGCAUCAAAAGCGGCUUCCCAGGUGCAGCAGGAUCACAAGAAAGCAUAGAAGAAGAGCUAGAAAAAAUGGUAGGUGGAAGUCCUUCAAUUCUUUUCUAACCUCCCCAGAGACUUCGUUUUAUACCCUAGCAAGGACAUUAUAAUUUUAGUCCGAAGCUUCAAAAGCAGUACGGGAGUCAUUUCCGAUCCUAAAAAUCAUAUAAAUUCUUGAUCAGAAUUAAAAGCCAAAUCCAUUUAACCAAGAGAUUACAUCGUUAAAAUUUUCAAAAGUGGUAUAAAAAUUUACAUUUU
This is a long non-coding RNA of Drosophila serrata, 2877 nucleotides long. The record is from RefSeq and is a predicted model, not a curated record. Lineage: Eukaryota; Metazoa; Arthropoda; Insecta; Diptera; Drosophilidae.